RNAcentral lists this small nuclear RNA (19 nucleotides) under Arabidopsis thaliana (thale cress). RNAcentral's name for it is "snRNA_14588". Lineage: Eukaryota; Viridiplantae; Streptophyta; Magnoliopsida; Brassicales; Brassicaceae. The record is from RNAcentral.
GAAGGCGACGUAAGACGGU